This 112-nucleotide ribosomal RNA is filed under the name Perlucidibaca piscinae. Lineage: Bacteria; Pseudomonadati; Pseudomonadota; Gammaproteobacteria; Pseudomonadales; Perlucidibacaceae. The record is from RNAcentral.
CUGGCGACCAUAGCGAGUGUGAACCACCUGAUCCCUUCUCGAACUCAGAAGUGAAACCACUCAGCGCCGAUGAUAGUGUGGCAUUCGCCAUGUGAAAGUAGGUCAUUGCCAG